UGCAAGUCGAGCGGAGUUGAUGAGGUGCUUGCACCUUUGAUACUUAGCGGCGGACGGGUGAGUAACACGUGGGUAACCUGCCUAUAAGACUGGGAUAACAUUCGGAAACGAAUGCUAAUACCGGAUACGCGAUAUGGUCGCAUGACUGAAUCGGGAAAGAUGGAGCAAUCUAUCACUUAUAGAUGGACCCGCGGCGCAUUAGCUAGUUGGUGAGGUAACGGCUCACCAAGGCGACGAUGCGUAGCCGACCUGAGAGGGUGAUCGGCCACACUGGGACUGAGACACGGCCCAGACUCCUACGGGAGGCAGCAGUAGGGAAUCUUCCGCAAUGGACGAAAGUCUGACGGAGCAACGCCGCGUGAGUGAUGAAGGUUUUCGGAUCGUAAAGCUCUGUUGCCAGGGAAGAAUGCUUGGGAGAGUAACUGCUCUCAAGGUGACGGUACCUGAGAAGAAAGCCCCGGCUAACUACGUGCCAGCAGCCGCGGUAAUACGUAGGGGGCAAGCGUUGUCCGGAAUUAUUGGGCGUAAAGCGCGCGCAGGCGGCCUUGUAAGUCUGUUGUUUAAACUUGGGGCUCAACCCCAAGUCGCAAUGGAAACUGCAAAGCUUGAGUACAGAAGAGGAAAGUGGAAUUCCACGUGUAGCGGUGAAAUGCGUAGAGAUGUGGAGGAACACCAGUGGCGAAGGCGACUUUCUGGGCUGUAACUGACGCUGAGGCGCGAAAGCGUGGGGAGCAAC
Molecule: ribosomal RNA, 736 nt
Filed under: Paenibacillus sp. 1.1-04
Lineage: Bacteria; Bacillati; Bacillota; Bacilli; Caryophanales; Paenibacillaceae
Description: bacterial SSU rRNA
Rfam family: Bacterial small subunit ribosomal RNA
Source: RNAcentral